RNAcentral lists this ribosomal RNA (465 nucleotides) under Vreelandella stevensii. Its description in RNAcentral is "partial 16S ribosomal RNA". It matches the Rfam family "Bacterial small subunit ribosomal RNA", at positions 338 to 795 of the family's 1533-position model. Lineage: Bacteria; Pseudomonadati; Pseudomonadota; Gammaproteobacteria; Oceanospirillales; Halomonadaceae. The record is from RNAcentral.
CCUACGGGAGGCUGCAGUGGGGAAUAUUGGACAAUGGGGGGAACCCUGAUCCAGCCAUGCCGCGUGUGUGAAGAAGGCCCUCGGGUUGUAAAGCACUUUCAGUGAGGAAGAACGCCUGGUGGUUAAUACCCAUCAGGAAAGACAUCACUCACAGAAGAAGCACCGGCUAACUCCGUGCCAGCAGCCGCGGUAAUACGGAGGGUGCGAGCGUUAAUCGGAAUUACUGGGCGUAAAGCGCGCGUAGGUGGCUUGAUAAGCCGGUUGUGAAAGCCCCGGGCUCAACCUGGGAACGGCAUCCGGAACUGUCAAGCUAGAGUGCAGGAGAGGAAGGUAGAAUUCCAGGUGUAGCGGUGAAAUGCGUAGAGAUCGGGAGGAAUACCAGUGGCGAAGGCGGCCUUCUGGACUGACACUGACACUGAGGUGCGAAAGCGUGGGUAGCAAACAGGAUUAGAUACCCUUGUAGUC